AUUUGAACGCUGGCGGCAGGCCUAACACAUGCAAGUCGAACGGUAACAGGAAGCAGCUUGCUGCUUUGCUGACGAGUGGCGGACGGGUGAGUAAUGUCUGGGAAACUGCCCGAUGGAGGGGGAUAACUACUGGAAACGGUAGCUAAUACCGCAUAACGUCGCAAGACCAAAGAGGGGGACCUUAGGGCCUCUUGCCAUCGGAUGUGCCCAGAUGGGAUUAGCUAGUAGGUGGGGUAACGGCUCACCUAGGCGACGAUCCCUAGCUGGUCUGAGAGGAUGACCAGCCACACUGGAACUGAGACACGGUCCAGACUCCUACGGGAGGCAGCAGUGGGGAAUAUUGCACAAUGGGCGCAAGCCUGAUGCAGCCAUGCCGCGUGUAUGAAGAAGGCCUUCGGGUUGUAAAGUACUUUCAGCGGGGAGGAAGGGAGUAAAGUUAAUACCUUUGCUCAUUGACGUUACCCGCAGAAGAAGCACCGGCUAACUCCGUG
This 491-nucleotide ribosomal RNA is filed under the name uncultured bacterium. RNAcentral describes it as "partial 16S ribosomal RNA". It matches the Rfam family "Bacterial small subunit ribosomal RNA", at positions 30 to 507 of the family's 1533-position model. The record is from RNAcentral.